RNA transcript from Aethalodelphis obliquidens (Pacific white-sided dolphin), 866 nucleotides. It is a transcript of the gene named ras-related protein Rap-1b pseudogene, with no coding region annotated. The record is from RefSeq and is a predicted model, not a curated record. NCBI's taxonomy places the organism in Eukaryota, Metazoa, Chordata, Mammalia, Artiodactyla, Delphinidae. The transcript has a single exon.
GCCGGCUGCGGGGACCCGGUGACAGUGCGAGAAGUACUAGAUUUUACAAGCUUGCACCAUGCGUGAGUAUAAGCUAGUCGUUCUUGGCUCAGGAGGAGCUGGAAAAUCUGCUCUGACUGUACAAUUUGUUCAAGGAAUUUUUGUUGAAAAAUAUGAUCCUACGAUAGAAGAUUCUUAUAGAAAGCAAGUUGAAGUAAUGCACAACAGUGUAUGUUUGAAAUCUUGGAUACUGCAGGAACGGAACAAUUUACAGCAAUGAGGGAUUUGUACGUGAAAAACGGACAAGGCUUUGCGUUAGUUUAUUCCAUCAGAUCACAGUCCAUAUUUAAUGAUUUACAAGAUCUGAGAGAACAGAUUCUUCAAGUUAAAGACGCUGAUGAUGCUCCAAUGAUUCUGGUUGGUAAUAAGUGUGACUUGGAAGAUGAAAGAGUUGUAGGAAAGGAACAAGGUCAAAAUUUAGCAAGACAAUGGAACAACAGUGCGUUCUUAGAAUCCUCUGUAAAAUCAAAAAUAAAUGUUAAUGAGAUCUUUUAUGACCUAGUGUGGCAAAUUAACAGAAAAACUCCAGUGCCUGGGAAGGCCCACAAAAAGUCGUCAUGUCAGCUGCUUUAUUAUACUAAAUGCAUUGUAGCUCUGAGCCAGGUCUGAAGAACUAUUGCCCAAUUCAACAGUGCCAGCAUUCCAACUUUAUUAAACCUACCAACAUCUUAAAUGGACUUUCUGUGGUGGUACCCUUUAAGGGGCGGAUGAAAGCUACUACAUCAGUUUGCACAUUCUAAUCACUUUCCAGGAUCACAAGAGAGAUUUUUACUUAUAUAAUAGUCCUAGAGUAUGCAGCUGGUAAAACCAGAGGCUACAAUCCAGUA